This 75-nucleotide transfer RNA is filed under the name Candidatus Peregrinibacteria bacterium. RNAcentral describes it as "tRNA-Met". It matches the Rfam family "tRNA". From Rfam's summary of the family: Transfer RNA (tRNA) molecules are approximately 80 nucleotides in length. Their secondary structure includes four short double-helical elements and three loops (D, anti-codon, and T loops). Further hydrogen bonds mediate the characteristic L-shaped molecular structure. tRNAs have two regions of fundamental functional importance: the anti-codon, which is responsible for specific mRNA codon recognition, and the 3' end, to which the tRNAs corresponding amino acid is attached (by aminoacyl-tRNA synthetases). tRNAs cope with the degeneracy of the genetic code in two manners: having more than one tRNA (with a specific anti-codon) for a particular amino acid; and 'wobble' base-pairing, i.e. permitting non-standard base-pairing at the 3rd anti-codon position. The record is from RNAcentral. Lineage: Bacteria; Candidatus Peregrinibacteriota.
UGCGGGGUGGAGCAGAGGCAGCUCGCAAGGCUCAUAACCUUGAGGCCGGUGGUUCGAAUCCACCCCCCGCAACCA